RNAcentral lists this ribosomal RNA (497 nucleotides) under uncultured bacterium. Its description in RNAcentral is "partial 16S ribosomal RNA". It matches the Rfam family "Bacterial small subunit ribosomal RNA", at positions 28 to 507 of the family's 1533-position model. The record is from RNAcentral.
GAUGAACGCUGGCGGCGUGCCUAAUACAUGCGAGUCGAGCGAACAGACGAGGAGCUUGCUCCUCUGACGUUAGCGGCGGACGGGUGAGUAACACGUGGAUAACCUACCUAUAAGACUGGGAUAACUUCGGGAAACCGGAGCUAAUACCGGAUGAUAUAUUGAACCGCAUGGUUCAAUAGUGAAAGACGGUUUUGCUGUCACUUAUAGAUGGAUCCGCGCCGCAUUAGCUAGUUGGUAAGGUAACGGCUUACCAAGGCAACGAUGCGUAGCCGACCUGAGAGGGUGAUCGGCCACACGGGAACUGAGACACGGUCCAGACUCCUACGGGAGGCAGCAGUAGGGAAUCUUCCGCAAUGGGCGAAAGCCUGACGGAGCAACGCCGCGUGAGUGAUGAAGGUCUUCGGAUCGUAAAACUCUGUUAUUAGGGAAGAACAAAUGUGUAAGUAACUAUGCACGUCUUGACGGUACCUAAUCAGAAAGCCACGGCUAACUACGUG